GUAUUCGGCAAUGGGGGAAACCCUGACCGAGCAACGCCGCGUGAAUGAUGAAGGUCUUCGGAUUGUAAAAUUCUGUGGUAAGAGAAGAAAGAUAUAAAGAGGAAAUGCUUUGUAUUUGACGGUAUCUUGCUAGAAAGCCACGGCUAACUACGUGCCAGCAGCCGCGGUAAUACGUAGGUGGCAAGCGUUAUCCGGAAUUACUGGGCGUAAAGAGUGAGCAGGCGGUUAGAUAAGUCUAUGGUUAAAUGCAACAGCUCAACUGUUGUUCGCUAUAGAAACUAUUUAACUAGAGUGCGGGAGAGGUAAGUGGAACUCCAUAUGUAGCGGUGGAAUGCUUAGAUAUAUGGAAGAACACCAGAGGCGAAGGCGGCUUACCAGUCCGUAACUGACGCUCAGUCACGAAAGCGUGGGGAGCAAAUAGGAUUAGAUAUCCUAGUAGUCCACGCCGUAAACGAUGAGAACCUGAUGCAGGAGAUAUUCUGUGUCGAAGCUAACGCGUUAAGUUCUCCGCCUGGGUACUACGUUCGCAAGAAUAAAACUUAAAGGAAUUGACGGGCGCCCGCACAAGCAGUGGAGCAUGGGGUUUAAUUCGUCGAUACACGAAAAACCUUACCAGGGCUUGACAUCCCGCUAAAAGCCUUAGAAAUAAGGAAAUAGUUAUAGCGGUGACAGGUGGUGCAUGGUUGUCGUCAGCUCGUGCCGUGAGGUGUUAGGUUAAGUCCUCAAACGAGCGCAACCCUUGUCUUUAGUUGCCAUUAUUAAUUUAGGAACUCUAGAGAGACUGCCGGCGCAAGCCGGAGGAAGGCGGGGAUGACGUCAAAUCAUCAUGCCCUUUAUGCCCUGGGCCACACCCGUGCUACAAUGGUCGGUACAAAGAGAAGCAACACUGUGAGGUGAAGCAAAUCCCAUAAAGCCGAUCUCAAUUCGGAUUGAAGUCUGCAACUCGACUUCAUGAAGCUGGAAUUGCUAGUAAUCGCAGAUCAGCAACGCUGCGGUGAAUACGUUCUCGGGCGUUGUACACACUGCCCGUCACACCAUGAGAGCCGGUAAUACUCGAAGUCGUUAGCCUAACCGUAAGGAGGGCGGCGCCUAAGGUAGGACUGGUGAUUGGGGUUAAGUCGUAACAAGGUAUCCCUACGAGAACGUGGGGAUG
This 1153-nucleotide ribosomal RNA is filed under the name human gut metagenome. RNAcentral describes it as "bacterial SSU rRNA". It matches the Rfam family "Bacterial small subunit ribosomal RNA", at positions 359 to 1520 of the family's 1533-position model. The record is from RNAcentral.